Molecule: ribosomal RNA, 497 nt
Filed under: uncultured bacterium
Lineage: Bacteria
Description: partial 16S ribosomal RNA
Rfam family: Bacterial small subunit ribosomal RNA
Source: RNAcentral
GAUGAACGCUGGCGGCGUGCCUAAUACAUGCGAGUCGAGCGAACAGACGAGGAGCUUGCUCCUCUGACGUUAGCGGCGGACGGGUGAGUAACACGUGGAUAACCUGCCUAUAAGACUGGGAUAACUUCGGGAAACCGGAGCUAAUACCGGAUAAUAUAUUGAACCGCAUGGUUCAAUAGUGAAAGACGGUUUUGCUGUCACUUAUAGAUGGAUCCGCGCCGCAUUAGCUAGUUGGUAAGGUAACGGCUUACCAAGGCGACGAUGCGUAGCCGACCUGAGAGGGUGAUCGGCCACACUGGAACUGAGACACGGUCCAGACUCCUACGGGAGGCAGCAGUAGGGAAUCUUCCGCAAUGGGCGAAAGCCUGACGGAGCAACGCCGCGUGAGUGAUGAAGGUCUUCGGAUCGUAAAACUCUGUUAUUAGGGAAGAACAAAUGUGUAAGUAACUAUGCACGUCUUGACGGUACCUAAUCAGAAAGCCACGGCUAACUACGUG